CCCUUAGAUGUCCGGGGCCGCACGCGCGCUACACUGAAGGAAUCAGCGUGGCUUUCUCCCUGACCCGAAAGGGUUGGGAAACCCGUUGAAUCUCCUUCGUGAUAGGGAUUGGGGCUUGAAAUUGUUCCCCAUGAACGAGGAAUUCCCAGUAAGCGCGAGUCAUAAGCUCGCGUUGAUUACGUCCCUGCCCUUUGUACACACCGCCCGUCGCUACUACCGAUUGAACGGUUUAGUGAGGGCCUCGGAUUGGUCUCGGCCCGCUCUUUACCGGGCGGCGCCGCUGGUCGAGAAGACGCUCGAACUUGAUCGUUUAGAGGAAGUAAAAGUCGUAACA
Molecule: ribosomal RNA, 334 nt
Filed under: uncultured eukaryote
Lineage: Eukaryota
Description: partial 18S ribosomal RNA
Rfam family: Eukaryotic small subunit ribosomal RNA
Source: RNAcentral